This 438-nucleotide long non-coding RNA is filed under the name Marmota monax (woodchuck). Lineage: Eukaryota; Metazoa; Chordata; Mammalia; Rodentia; Sciuridae. The record is from RNAcentral.
CUUGUAUGAGGUGGGGAAGGAGGCAUUCCAGACUUGCUUAUGAAACGAUCUGAAUAAUAAACACACCUAAAAUGUCAGAGCAAGUAAACAGCUCUGUAGCCGAGGCCAUCCGGCACCGGGCCCAAAAUAAGUUUACUGUCUUCAACCUGUCUUCCCAUGUUUUUCCUCCCUGGGGAUCUGUGUUUGCAGCCCAGUCAAGGGUGCAGGCCCCCACACAGGGUAAGUGAUCUACAGACCCUUAUUGGAAAUGAAUGACUGAAUGAACCAGCCAGUAAUCCAGAAGAUAAAUGUGUGCUUACUGGUUGUAGAUGCUUUGUCCUUUCAGAAGAGUGGCUUGAACUAGAUAUAGAAGAGAGAAAACCAGCCUUGUGAAAUGUCACUGAGGCCCUUGUAAACCUUUCGACUUGAUACAAAUGUCUGAUCCAGUGAUUUUUAAAU